This 75-nucleotide transfer RNA is filed under the name Promethearchaeum syntrophicum. RNAcentral describes it as "tRNA-Ile (TAT) (tRNA-Ile-TAT-1-1)". It matches the Rfam family "tRNA". From Rfam's summary of the family: Transfer RNA (tRNA) molecules are approximately 80 nucleotides in length. Lineage: Archaea; Promethearchaeati; Promethearchaeota; Promethearchaeia; Promethearchaeales; Promethearchaeaceae. The record is from RNAcentral.
GGAUCCAUAGCAUAGCCUGGUCAAUGCGCUGGUCUUAUAAGCCAGAUAUCGGGAGUUCGAAGCUCCCUGGAUCCA